AUUUGCGGAGUUCAAACUGACUCGCAAUGCAACCUGACUCGCAAUGCAACGAAUUGAAGGAGUUCAAACUGCAGACAGCGCUUACUGCUUACAUCCUCAACAAAAGCAAAUGGCAACCAUACGUACCCCACGUUCAAAUAUUUGAAUAACUAUUCUCCCUCAUGGCGCGUGGGCUACAGCCACCUGAAUCUAACACAAUCCCUGCAUUCAAUUACAUUCUGGACUUCUUUUCCCCGAAUUCUGGAUCAACUUGUGAAACCAACAAUUACCGUCAUCUGACAUUUCUCGGCCUUCAAAAAUAACAAUAUUGAAACAAGGAAAAAAGGAGGAAAAAUGGAAAAGAGCUCAGCUUCACCAAAUGAUUCAUUUACUAGUGUCAUGACACUUACUGAAGAGGGUCUAACCAAAGUUCCCAAAUGUUACAUUCUUCCGCCAUCCUUACGCCCUGAUGGAACCCAGUCUAACACAUGCCUGCCAAUUGUAGAUCUAUCCUUUCUGCGACAGCCUCUUCAUCGGGCUCGGAUAAUCGAGGAAGUACACCUGGCUUGCAAGGAACUAGGUUUCUUCCAGGUACUUCUCUCGUGUCAUGUCACCUGCAAUCAUGUACUAAAAUGAUAUUGCUUUUAAUCCUAUUUUGUUACAUAUAAAGUUCCUUCAUGCUGAUAUGAUUCGAGGAAGAACAAUAUACACACACCACGUAAAUAAAAGAUGUUGUCAGAUUCCCCAUAAAGAGACGAAAGCAUUUGGAAAUUAAGAAAAAGAAACUUCAUGCAGCACACAUGGUGCAUUUGGUUUCUAGAGAUAUCUCCUCCUCCCCCUUCUCUCUUCCCUUUAAUAUUCAGUUGAUAAGUUCAAAGAGAUGUCCUAGAUUUUAGAUACAUAGCGGUUUAACAGGAAAGAGAAUAAGACGUGCUUCGCUAAUUCAACCUGGACGUAAAAUAAUAGCAUGCAUGCAAUAAAUGACUCUGCAGGUAGUCAACCAUGGAAUCCCAUUGUCAGUCAUGAAAGAUGCCUUAGAAGCUGCGACUGAGUUCUUCGAUUUACCAACUGAAAAGAAAAUGCAUCUCUUGUCUUCAAAUGUUCAUGAUCCCGUAAGGUAUAAUACCAGCCUAAAUGAUGUCAAAGACAAAGUAUCCUUUUGGAGAGACUUCCUCAAGCACUAUGCUAAUCCAAUCUCAAAUUGGAUUGAUUUGUGGCCAUCAAAUCCCACAUGCUACAAGUAACUUUUGCACCCUUAUCUGAAAUGAUUUCUGAUAGAUAUAUUACAAGUAAGUUUUGCACCCUUGUCUGAAAUGAUUUCUGAUAGAUAUAUUUUGUCACUGUUCAAGAAUAAUAUAACUAUAAGUACCUAAAGCAGUUUAUCAUGCAGGGAGAAAAUGGGAAAUUACACUAUCGCAGCACAAAAGUUGCAAGAAGAACUCAUGGGAGUGAUAUUUGAGAGCUUAGGACUAAACCCUAGUUACUUACAUGAAGACAUUGCAGAAGGCUCCCAGGUCAUGGUCGUUAACUGCUAUCCAGCAUGUCCUGAGCCAGAUCUUACACUAGGCUUGCCACCACACACAGAUUAUGCUUUGCUAUCGAUCAUUCUUCAAAAUCAUCAGGGCUUGCACAUCAUGGAUCAUGAUGGAAAGUGGCAUUCAGUUCCAGUCAUAGAAGGAGCCCUCGUUGUUCAGCUGGGAGAUCACAUGGAAGUAUUGAGCAAUGGUCGAUACAAAGCCAUUAAUUGCUAUCCAGCAUGUCCUGAGCCAGAUCUUACACUAGGCUUGC
Molecule: long non-coding RNA, 1767 nt
Filed under: Nicotiana benthamiana
Lineage: Eukaryota; Viridiplantae; Streptophyta; Magnoliopsida; Solanales; Solanaceae
Description: long non-coding RNA (NBEN_LNC036291)
Source: RNAcentral